GACGAACGCUGGCGGCGUGCUUAACACAUGCAAGUCGAACGGAAAGGCCCUGCUUUUGUGGGGUGCUCGAGUGGCGAACGGGUGAGUAACACGUGAGUAACCUGCCCUUGACUUUGGGAUAACUUCAGGAAACUGGGGCUAAUACCGGAUAGGAGCUCCUGCUGCAUGGUGGGGGUUGGAAAGUUUCGGCGGUUGGGGAUGGACUCGCGGCUUAUCAGCUUGUUGGUGGGGUAGUGGCUUACCAAGGCUUUGACGGGUAGCCGGCCUGAGAGGGUGAGCGGCCACAUUGGGACUGAGAUACGGCGCAGACGCCAACGGGAGGCAGCAGGGGGGAACCUUGCACAAUGGGCGGAAGCCUGAUGCAGCAACGCCGCGUGCGGGAAGCCGGCCUUCGGGUUGGAAACCGCUGUCACCUGUGACGAAGCGUUAGUGACGGUAAUGGGUGAAGAAGCACCGGCUAACUACGUG
Molecule: ribosomal RNA, 468 nt
Filed under: uncultured bacterium
Lineage: Bacteria
Description: partial 16S ribosomal RNA
Rfam family: Bacterial small subunit ribosomal RNA
Source: RNAcentral